AAGGACAAUCACUGCAGUUUAAAUAAAUACCUCUAUUUCAGUUGGUUUGAAAUUACGACUACCAGCUAAAAGAGAAGUAGCUUCUGCCGUGCCAGGGGGUGGUUGAUAGGAGUGACCAAGGUUGCUGUAGGAUCCUUGAUUGCCAUUAGCGUUAUUACUAAUAUGGAGAUCGUGACCUCCUCCAAAGGUUGGACCAUAAUUUGGAUUAUGAUAGAUAGCACUGUGCUCGCGGCCAGGUGUCAGGUUUGCAAUGAAUGGAGCAAGAUUUUCCUUAUUUCGCAGAGAAAACAGAAAUGACAACUUGGAAUGUGUCCAACCAUGAUUACCUA
Paramuricea clavata is the source of this 329-nucleotide non-coding RNA. The record is from the annotation of a GenBank genome assembly. Lineage: Eukaryota; Metazoa; Cnidaria; Anthozoa; Malacalcyonacea; Plexauridae.